CGGCAGGCUUAACACAUGCAAGUCGAGCGGGGAAGUGUAGCUUGCUACAUUACCUAGCGGCGGACGGGUGAGUAAUGCUUAGGAAUCUGCCUAUUAGUGGGGGACAACAUUCCGAAAGGAAUGCUAAUACCGCAUACGUCCUACGGGAGAAAGCAGGGGAUCUUCGGACCUUGCGCUAAUAGAUGAGCCUAAGUCGGAUUAGCUAGUUGGUGGGGUAAAGGCCUACCAAGGCGACGAUCUGUAGCGGGUCUGAGAGGAUGAUCCGCCACACUGGGACUGAGACACGGCCCAGACUCCUACGGGAGGCAGCAGUGGGGAAUAUUGGACAAUGGGCGGAAGCCUGAUCCAGCCAUGCCGCGUGUGUGAAGAAGGCCUUUUGGUUGUAAAGCACUUUAAGCGAGGAGGAGGCUACUCUAGUUAAUACCUAGAGAUAGUGGACGUUACUCGCAGAAUAAGCACCCGGCUAACUUCUGGUGCCAGCAGCC
This 485-nucleotide ribosomal RNA is filed under the name Acinetobacter haemolyticus. RNAcentral's name for it is "bacterial SSU rRNA". It matches the Rfam family "Bacterial small subunit ribosomal RNA", at positions 40 to 516 of the family's 1533-position model. Lineage: Bacteria; Pseudomonadati; Pseudomonadota; Gammaproteobacteria; Moraxellales; Moraxellaceae. The record is from RNAcentral.